CGUAGGUAACCUGCCUUAUAGUGGGGGAGUAGCCUUUCGAAAGGAAGAUUAAUACCGCAUAAGAUUGUAGUAUCGCAUGAUAUAGCAAUUAAAGGAGCAAUCCGCUAUAAGAUGGACCCGCGUCGCAUUAGCUAGUUGGUGAGGUGAUGGCUCACCAAGGCGACGAUGCGUAGCCGACCUGAGAGGGUGAUCGGCCACAUUGGGACUGAGACACGGCCCAGACUCCUACGGGAGGCAGCAUG
Molecule: ribosomal RNA, 242 nt
Filed under: uncultured bacterium
Lineage: Bacteria
Description: partial 16S ribosomal RNA
Rfam family: Bacterial small subunit ribosomal RNA
Source: RNAcentral